UAGGGAAUCUUCGGCAAUGGGGGGAACCCUGACCGAGCAACGCCGCGUGAGUGAAGAAGGUUUUCGUAUCGUAAAGCUCUGUUGUUAAGGAAGAACGAGUGUGAGAAUGGAAAGUUCAUGCUGUGACGGUACUUAACCAGAAAGGGACGGCUAACUACGUGCCAGCAGCCGCGGUAAUACGUAGGUCCCGAGCGUUGUCCGGAUUUAUUGGGCGUAAAGCGGGCGCAGGCGGUUAGAAAAGUAUGAAGUGAAAGGCAGUGGCUCAACCAUUGUAGGCUUUGGAAACUGUUUAACUUGAGUGCAGAAGGGGAGAGUGGAAUUGCAUGUGUAGCGGUGAAGUGCGUAGAUAUAUGGGGGAACACCGGUGGCGAAAGCGGCUCUCUGGUCUGUAACUGACGCUGAGGCUCGAAAGCGUGGGGAGCGAACAGG
This 429-nucleotide ribosomal RNA is filed under the name Verrucomicrobiota bacterium. Its description in RNAcentral is "Verrucomicrobia bacterium partial 16S ribosomal RNA". It matches the Rfam family "Bacterial small subunit ribosomal RNA", at positions 355 to 776 of the family's 1533-position model. The record is from RNAcentral. Lineage: Bacteria; Pseudomonadati; Verrucomicrobiota.